This 1720-nucleotide long non-coding RNA is filed under the name Mus pahari (shrew mouse). Its description in RNAcentral is "predicted gene 10848 (MGP_PahariEiJ_G0003228.1)". Lineage: Eukaryota; Metazoa; Chordata; Mammalia; Rodentia; Muridae. The record is from RNAcentral.
ACUGCAUGAAGAGGUGGCAGAAUGCAGUCAGAGCGUGGCUUCACCAAGCGGCACCGUGGUUCAGCUUCUCGUCACGGCCACUGUCCAUUUCUUCCCACCUUCCACUCCCAGUGAUACAAUGUUGUGCCUAGUUGACAAUAAAAUCUAGUUGGGACACAGAUACACAAGUGGACAAAGGAAAACUCUGCUCCUGUGGUGAUAUGCAGUCCUGGAAUGCCUUGUGAGGAUAGAACAGGACCAUCUUAAAGGUCACUGCAACAAGUACGUCAGGAACUGUAUGAAGACACAAGAGGUCAGAAACAAGUAGUUUUAUUGACCGAGAGCUCUAAACAGGCAGCAACUUCCACACAUCACCAUGGAAUUACUUAAGUCUGCGUAUCAAUUUAACACUGUCGUUGGUGUAACUUGGUUCCCCAAAUGAUGAAACAGAGUCUAAGAUGCAAUGCCAUGUGAAGGGCACACUCUUCACAAGUGAUAGAGUUUGGGUUCAGCUUACAGCCCCAGGAUAUCGAAGCAGUGUCACCAGGGUGGUCUCUAUGGCAUUUUCCUGUAAGAGGAGGGCUUACGCAUCACACAGAUGACCCACACUAUUUGGUUCAGGUAGCAAAGAAUCUUAUGAACCAUGUGUUUUAUUUUUCAACUUGAUUAAAUAUUUUACCAGGAAUGUCAAGUGUCCACAUUGCUGUUGGCAUAUAGAGAUUUUGAGUAAUUAGUUUGGUAUAUUCCAAAAAUAGAAUCUUUACAUACAAAAAGAAACCCUUGUUGCUUUUAAGAUGUAGUAUAAUGUUUGAUGUUUACUGAAAACACAACAAUGCACUAAUGACAACAUUUGAAAGUAUCAAGAAAUUUAAUUCACAUACAAUCUCAAAGUUCUUUUUGCAUAUUUUUUAUAAUUUUUAUCAUCUUUACUUUAUUGCCAUAGCCUUAUGGUUCAUAUAAACUCUUUAUAUGAUAUGCUAAUUCUUUAUAUUUCUACAUCAAGUUAUUCAUGACAGUUGUUUCCAUUUGACUUGUUUGUUGAGAUAUAACAUUUUAAAAUAGUUAUUACCUCCUACCUUUUCACUGUGUUUUUUCUACAUGUGUGUUGCAUGCUCUGUGUGUGUGUGUGCGCGCGCGCGUGCACGCGCACGCACAAUUCAGGAGUUGGUUCUGGGGUUGAACUCUAGUUGUACAGUAAACACUAAGCAAGUUUAUCUGCUGAGCCAUCACGCUGGCUUUGACUAUUCCUCUAGAAACUGUCUAACCUUCCUACUAUCCUCACACAGAAGCAGUCUUCCUAGGCUUUGUUUACUGUCCAAUGCUGUUUUCAAGUCAAGCUAUCUUUAACUCUUUAAUUAGUUUUGACACAAAAUAUGGAUUUAAUUUUGUUAAUUAAUUAUACCAUUAUAAUUUUAUACUGUCUAUUGAAGAAUUAAUGUUCUAUUGUUUCAUUAUAUACACUAUUAUAUUUUACAGACAGUGAAGGCCAGAUGAGAUUUCAGUUUUAUAAAAGGGAAUUCAUUGUUUCUGUGUUUAUUCUAAAAUGCACCUGUUUCAUUUAUUAUAUACACGAGAAUAUUUUAAUUUAAUGAAUGUUAAAUGAGUGUUGAAUAUUGAUAUUCUCCAAUAUAUUUGAAUAUAGUUUGUUCCUGAAUAUUCAUUGUCAUUUCAAUAUUAAUACAAAGACCCAUCUUCUUGCUUGGCAUAUUUCUGUUUCAAAUAUAACAUAAUUCCGAAGCUC